This 301-nucleotide ribosomal RNA is filed under the name uncultured bacterium. Its description in RNAcentral is "partial 16S ribosomal RNA". It matches the Rfam family "Bacterial small subunit ribosomal RNA", at positions 509 to 807 of the family's 1533-position model. The record is from RNAcentral.
CAGUCGCCGCGGUAACACAGAGGGUGCGAGCGUUAAUCGGAUUUACUGGGCGUAAAGCGUGCGUAGGCGGCUUCUUAAGUCGGAUGUGAAAUCCCUGAGCUUAACUUAGGAAUUGCAUUCGAUACUGGGAAGCUAGAGUAUGGGAGAGGAUGGUAGAAUUCCAGGUGUAGCGGUGAAAUGCGUAGAGAUCUGGAGGAAUACCGAUGGCGAAGGCAGCCAUCUGGCCUAAUACUGACGCUGAGGUACGAAAGCAUGGGGAGCAAACAGGAUUAGAUACCCGAGUAGUCCCUGUCUCUUAUAC